RNAcentral lists this unclassified non-coding RNA (1535 nucleotides) under Hevea brasiliensis (rubber tree). Lineage: Eukaryota; Viridiplantae; Streptophyta; Magnoliopsida; Malpighiales; Euphorbiaceae. The record is from RNAcentral.
GCCCAUCCAACAAAUAAUAGAAGAAUAUAUUUUAAUAAUAUGCAGAAAUAGAUGGCUAACUAAUUAAAGAUUAGGCAAUGUUGCAUAUACCUCUUUAGCACAAGAAAAGAAAAGUACCAAACUUUAACCAGAAUGAAUUUCUUUAGUUUUAGAAAAGCAAAGGAUCAAACAAAGGAAGUAGCUGGCUUUAAUGGGGUUUUAGUUUCAGGGUUUAAUACAAUUCUAUGAUUCUAAACAAGUCCAAACAUGUUUUUAGCCUAAAGAGAAAGGUUUUUGACAAUUAAGAUAUGCCCAGAGAAAGUUGUUUAAUACCCAAAAGAAAGAAAGCAAAAGAGCAUAAAACCACAAGAAAACAAGAACUUGACAAGCAAGAAAGGUAUUUUCAGCCCUUCAAUAAGAAAAAUUUGAAAAAGGGCUUCUCACAAUAACAAAAUCCCAAAAAUAUAUAUAACAAAAAGAAAAAAAGGAGUAAUUAAACACACUAAUUAUCCCACAAAAAAACCUCAAAACUACUGGUAAUCACGCUUUCUGGCAUUACUGGUAACUGGUGAUCACUAAAAUACCCGUUGCCUCCACUAUAAUCCUCGUACCACGGUAGAUUAUAUAGCCACGGGUCGCCGAACACGAACUCGUCCCUCAACUCGAGCGAUUCUUCCAAACUCGACCCCAGACUCGGCAACUCUACUAUCUCGCUCAGCUCUUCAGGUGUUGCCACGUAACAGGGUGAUGACGUCACCUCUGCCGUUGAGGAUGAAGAUUGCGUCAGCGUUGUUGAUGAUGAUGAUGAAGAUGAUGCAUUAUUGUUGCUAGUGCAGUUGUUGCAGUGGUCGCGGUGAGGGUGGUUGUUGUCAUCGUUACUGUUGCUAAUGCUGAAGUCCAUUGAAGCGGCUUUAGCUGCGGCGGCUUGGACGUCUCUUGGGGAGUUGGAAGUAGGUCGAGGCAGCGAGCCAGCCAGUUCCGGGAAGUUGAGGAUCGCUGAGUUUCCUUUAAUGCUCAAAGCAGCCACGUCGUGGGCACGUGCCGCCAUUUCCGGUGUGGAGAAAGUGCCGAGCCAGAUCCGAUUCUUCUUCCUGGGCUCCCGGAUCUCCGAUACCCACUUGCCCCACGUCCGCAUUCGGACUCCUCUGUACACCGAAUGUUUGCUAUUGUCCCUAGCCCUCUUAGGCCUCCUAGGAUUCUCUUCCGGAUCGGGUUUAUUCACUGGGUUUGGGGAUAAUCCGAAUGAAGACGGAGAAGAGGGAGGUGGAGAAGAGGAGGAAUAGGAAGAGUUAAAACUGGAGUCAGUCUCGGAGUUAGAGAUUGCUCUUAUGGGGUCAGCCAUUUUCGACGAUAUGAAUACUUUAAGUAGAGAGUUGGAGUGUUGGUUUUAGUAUAAAAACCCAGAAAGCAAAUUUCUCAGUGUGAUAUGUUCAUAAAUGCAGGAAGAAGGGUAAGCGUUACUGGGGGGUCUUUAUAGAGAACACUGUCAUUAGAGCGGAGAAGAUGGGUUAAAAAUGAAAGGAAAACGUGUGAAGCCGCGAAGAUCAAUUUUAAGU